UCAUAAAUUUGGGAGAUGAGCCGCACCUGCAGCUUUUUUCAGAGUAAGGUGUCUUCCACAUUUUAAAGGUUUGACAAGCUGGAGACUCAGGUACUCCCAGAUUAUGGAGGCCGGUCUGUUUAGUGAACCUGGCAGCCAAAUCUGAAUCACAGCCAAGGAAGUAUAAAGGCAGGGGAGAGCACAGGUCAGCUCAGCCUGCCGAAGUAAAGCUAACUGGGCUGGAGAGGACUUCCCAGGUGCAAGGCGGCAACCCCAGGUUCAGGUAGGAGUGACAGGGUGAGAACUGAACUGAAGCAGCAGGCUUUUCUGCUCCCUGCAGGAAACCUUCCUGCUGAGACAAGCUCCAGAAGGAACAGGAAUCCCACCUAGAGGUGUAAAUACACAAAGAGAGUGAGAGAGAAAGCACUGAGACAUGUCCUGCAGGUAGAUGAAGCAGACACAGAGCCAAGAGUGGUUUCAAGUACCACAAAUGCUGCCGAUGCCCCUGAGUGGGGUGCCCUUUGGUCCCUGUCACAGCAGCUGGAAUCUGAGCAAUGCAGGUUUGACAGAAGCAAUCUCAGGCAUUUAGGUUUGUUUUCUGGCUUAUACUUUGCUUUAUAUGUUUUGUAUUUGUGGAAUUAUGCUGGCCUGUGGAAAAAGAAGUCUGAGUCCAACUAGACAUGCUGAAUUAAUAAUGAUUAGUCCUCAGCUUCUCAUCUGAGUGUGGUUUACUGUGAAAAUUAAGCCCUCAAGAAAGGUUACUUUGGGAGGUUUCCAGGGAAGGAAAGCAGCUGAGCUAACAAAAAAUACCCUGAGAGUCAAUAUAGUGGCACAGGUGUGGGUGUGUCAAAAAAAUCCAGAUUAAUGAACACUUAGGGCAAAUCAAGUUAGUUGAAGUUAACUGCUCAAGGUAAAGGAGACCUUGACAAGUUUAACUUCUAUGCUAUGUCUUCACAACCAAGCUAUGAAUCCCAUCUUGCUGGAUCUUACUGUGUACCAUAUCAGAGAUGUUGGCCUUUCCCAUCUCUCCACCCAGCUAAAUUCUUCCAUUGACUGAUUUUGCUUCCUCUUCUCUGUUUUCUACAAAGAGGACCCGUGACAAUGCCCUGCAGCAGACAGCUGGGCCUUGCUCAGUCAUCUUGCACUGGUGAAGAAUAAAGUGAGAAACUGCCAUGAGGUGACAAAACCCAAAAAGCCAGUGUGGGACAGAGAUACCAAAGAGAGGAUGUACAGAAAGAGCUGUAUUAUCAAUGAUACUACAACGCACUCCAGUCAGUACAGCAACUAAACCCAACAUUUAAUGUUAGAAUGGGACCAACAUGCUUCAACUGGUCUGCUGGCCAUUUCAACUGUCUUCUAGUUUUGAUCUGGUAAAGUAAAUUAUCUUCAAAUAUGUUCAUGUCUUCACUUGUUAAAUUACUUUUACACAUAGUCUAGAAAACAAAGAUGAGUCCAUGGAGACUUUUGUUCUUCAGUCUUUUUGCCCUUUGCUUCACUCUUCUCUGCCAACUGCUAGUUUUUCCUUUACUUUAAAAGACUAAGCAGAAGGUUCCAAUUUCUCUAUAAAAUGUUUCUUUGUGUUUAGCUUAUUGGAAGAAAGUGACAUUUCUGCAGGUUUUUUAGUUUAUGAUGACCUUUCCAAAUUGUAAAAUGUCUGUGUCUAAACCAUGAUGAAGUUUUGUACUUCUACAAUUUUGUGCUUGUUUUGACUUCCUUACUUUUUACCGAAGUCUAAUAGUAAUUUUUCAUCCUUUGGUUCUGUCAUUUUGGGUAAUAUGCAUAUCCCUGUAAGUUUGCCAGUGAUUUUCCACGCUGCAGUGGUGUUACUCUGUAGCUGAACAACAUCAAAUAUAGAAUGAUAUUGAAUGAGUUGGGUUUUGUGAGCCUGUGCUUCACUAUAUAGAUUUUGCAUCUAUUAGUAUUUUAUCACAGAUGCCCAGAAAACUCUCAGAAAGUGUCCUGAGCUGAAACCUGAAGGUUUUCACAAGAACCAGGAAUUCCUGUACUCACUGCCUUGACUUUGAUCAAUUGCUAAUGUAACUGGGAACUUGAGGUCCAAAAGUGCUUGAUCAUCAGUACUAAAGUCACUGUAUUUCCACAAGCCAACAUUUCUGGAAAGCUAUUACAGCAGUUCACAUUUUUCAAAGGUACACAAAGUAAGUCUUGUAGAAGUACAGAUCCAUAUCAAUGUACUAUUUCUGUCUUCUUGAAACUGCAGUGAUCCUUUCUAGCAUCACAGUUCGGGCACACAAUCUGGAUUCAUUAUUUGUGAAGCCUCUUCUUCAGUUUCUCUCCAAAACUGUCCAGUCUUUCCAGGUUCCAUGGAAAAUCUGAUGUAGCUUGAAAUAACAUUCAUAUUCUCCUGGUCUCAAUGGUGACUGGGGUCCCAAGAGCACAUUCUUUAUGAAACCUAGACUCUAGACUCACUAGAGGCUCCUGUGACUGUCUUUAUGUUUUUCCCUCUAUCCCUCCAAACACAGCUUCUCUGAAAAAGACUUUACCCUCAGCCAAGCUUUGCCACAAAUCUUUGGUCUUUGGCCCACUGCCCUGCUCUCUACAUCCUCCUCUCUGUGUUGCUGGAUGUAUGUAAACAUACAUUUUACUAUUAUUUCUAUCAAAAUAAUUAUCACAAAUCGACCUUUGCAAUUCAGAUCCCAUUUUGUUCCAAGCAACCCUUACCCUAUAACUUUAUGAGGAAGACUAGCCUUGUUCAUCCUUAAUCCAGCUACAGCAGGAUGAUUAGUGCUGUCCUAAUCUCAUUCUCCUCUUUCCAAUUUCAGUUGAGGUGAGAACACACUCUUCUCCUAAUUCAGACCUACAUCCCUUGUAAGGUCUCCUGCUCUGAAUUCUCCUUAUGUCCUCAAAUCCAACUUCUGACUCACGCCUUGCUGAGUUUUUUCUGUGUAACAUAUCAAAGAUAUGAACUUUCUGAUCCAUCACCUCAGCCAAACUAUUCCACCUAGGUAUUGUCAUGCUUCCUUGUCUCUGAUUCUGAAAAAAGCAGUAUUGCACCUUUCAUGUCCAUUCAGAGUGCUUCUGGAAAGGCAUUUUCUUUGUGAGUGAUUGUCCUUGCUGUGUCACUUCAAGCUUUGCAUCUUCCCAAUCUUUCCUGACAUGCCUUCCCCCUCUCCUAGCAUUUCUGAUUCAUCACUAAGACACCAGCUCCUCCUACACCCAGUUGGCCCAUAAUAUCAGCCCCCAGCACCUAUUUAUUAAUGUUUCAAGUACUUCCAUGCUUUCUUCUGUGCUUCCCUAAGGCAUGAAAGGACUUGCACAUCAAAAAGAAAUUUGGGAACCAUGAAAGUGUAUUAGACAACAGCAGAAAAUUUGCAGCUAUGAAAACUGAACUUACUCAUGGCAACUUCUCUACAGAGACACAAAAUGGGCAUAAAUAUCAGAUUGUAAAUGAAAAUGUGAUAUCUUUGAGUGUGUAUUGGAAUCAGCGGCAGUAAUGCCAUUCUUUGGCUUAAAAGUGAAAAUAAGUUUUCCAGGGGUAGUCAGAAAAAAAGCCAACAGCUGCACAGCUUCAAAACUUUGAAACCAAAUAGUUGCCUGUAGUGUGCACUGGGAAGACCAUCCCUGAAUUAUUGCAGCUUAUUAAAUGCAUGGAAGAGCUUGCAUAACAAAUAUAUCACCUGCUUUGUGGUGUGGUUUUGCAUAUGGUGGGAUUUGAUGGCUGAGCUUGUCCCUGGAAAUAAAAACCAAGCUGAUCAUUCAGAUGGACACAAAUCUCACACAUUUGAUGUUCGACAUCCUAACACAAUCUGCUUUAAAAGAAAAACAGGAUUUAUGCCCCAUUUGUGCAAUCCUAAAAAUAGGAUUGUUAAGACAUCUUUACGAUAAUAGAGAUGAGAAAUUUCUAAGUAAAUAAAUUAUAGCUUCUCGGUGCCAGAAGUUUAUUACAGAAAUGAGUCAAGAUAAAGAUUUUCAACAUAAUAAAAAACAAGUCAGAGUCCUCUUUGAAACAUAAUUAGAAAAAGCUGUCACCCAUGGGCACAAGCAUACUGAGAUGGACAACAUUUAACAGUGGCAGAUCAAUCGAUGUUUGAAAGGGUCAUGUUUUUCUUAAAAUUCCAUCCCUAGUCUGGUGAGCGCUACAGAAGAGUGUGAAAAUCAAGUUCAUAUUUCAUAGUGAAGCGUUCUUCCAUUCUGGAGAGGGCAGAUUAAAAUUUGGCUGGAAAAGAGAGAGAUUCACUCCCUUGCAGCUGUGUUUUGGAAUAUCUGCAUGUCCCCUGUUCCUCUAUGCAGAUCUUCGUGCCUGUCUCAAUGAGCCUCCCUGCAGGCAUAUGGGCCCAACUGCACUGAUUAUUUUGCAGAACUGGGGGUUAGAAAUUACAAAGCCACAUGCUUUAUAAUUGCAAAGUCACUAACUUAUCCCAGUCUCGUUCAACGAUCUUCUCCUUCCCAGCAGGGCCCAUCUGUCACCAUUUCACUAACUCCAUGUUUUAAUGAGAUCCAAUUUCACUCUUUGCUUUCAAGUGUUUUUAUUCUAUAUCUGUACAUUGAAAGAAAAAAAAAGUUUUCUAUUAAAAGAAAGUCAGUCAUAAAUAUGUGGGAAACUGAAGGGCCCCUGCAUAUAUUGCCAUCUAACAUUUUUUCAUUGUAUUAUUGAUAGUUUUGCACUAUUUUCAUUCAAUACCAAAAGAGCAAUUAAAAGAUGUUUCACGUUAGAAAGAGAAAAAACAUGAAGGAAAGGUGGACAUAGAAUAAAAAAAGAAAGGUGGACAUAGAAUAAAAAAAGAAUAAACUGCCUUAGAACUACAACAAGCUGAUAAGCAAAUCCUUUGGCAAGCUUAGUCUUUGGGUAAAAUGUUCUCAUUCAGCACAUGCUACUGAAUGAGCCUUGGACCAUGAACAGUCAGUGAAGAAUUCUGCUGUUACAAGAGAGUAUACCACUUGGUGUAAAAAUAACAGCAUCAGCUCUCACAUUGUUACCUCCCUUCUUUAGCCCAGCCACAGAUCUGGAGGGAAGAAAGGUUCUACACAAAUUGCAGCUCUUCCAGGCUUUACCUAUAUUACCUUUAUACCUGAGAUCUCCUAGGCUGACUCAAGCCUGAGGGUGUCGAGACAAUUUGACCAGAUGCAGUAGCUGUCAGUUCACAGGAUACACUGUGAAGUUCAUGUACCAAUGCUCCUUUCUUCCAAAUGAACCAAAAAAGCCAGAUCAGGAGCACCAUCAUCAGCUACAGUGGGAAAAAAACAUGACUUUGUUUCAUGGAUGCAAUGCUCAACCAAUAAAUGUCUGUCAGUCUGUUUCAUUUAUCCAGCCUGCUGCGGAGCGAUGUGCAGCUGGGAAAGCUGCUGUGCUGUGUCCCAAGCAUUGUGCUCAUCCUUGCUACCCUGUGAAGCCAUCAGGUAUGCAGCAACUGUGUGCAACAGUGUGAGGUGUGUGUUUGAAACCACCCUGAUUUCCAGAUACACAGGCCCCGCCAGCUGGGACAACUAUGCAGGAGACUUGCAGAUACUUGGAUCUACUAGAUUUCUACACUUAAAAAUUCUCCUGUUCCAGUAAGUUUGAAAUUCUGGAUACCAAACCAGAGCUUCUCUGGUGAAAUGUAGGCCUGGGACAACGGGAGAAGAAAAAAGGUGCUUCUGUGCCUGCUUCUACUGGUUGUGAUGACCAGUGUUGCCACUGUUGAUGAAAAUGCCCAGAGACAGGAGACUGGGAAAUUCUGCUCUACUGUAUCUGUGAUUAUAUACCUUCACCAUCAUUAUACAUUCUCUUAUUUCCCCUUCCAGAAACACCCACAUGUGAGCACACACUCUGAAAACUAAGAACAUGGAGCUGUCUUCCCCUCAGGAAGAAUGAGACCAACUUUAUCCCUUCUCUCAAGCAUGAAUAAAAAUAUGCUGAUCUUACCUGAAGAUCUUCAGAGCUUUACAUUUAGUCCUUUCAUGCCUCAGAAAUCCUAUCCAGCCUCCCUGUAAAUGCUGCAAUGGAAGUUUAUGUUCCAUCCAAUAGUUAAAUAUCUGCUGACAGGUUAUUGUGUUGUAUCAUUGCUAGACAUUCACAUACUCCUUCAGGGACAGCGGCCGAGUCAAAAGCUAGAAUAAAAGAUAGCAGCAUGAAUGCUGUGCUUACUGUUUGUUAGGUUUUGUUACCUAAAAUUCAUAUAUAAUAGGAUUUCAAUGCAUUUGAGUCCUUAAAAUGGAAAUCUCAAGUCCCAUUAAAUAUAGAAGUAAACAUCAAGGUAGUGGAAGAUGUUGCCAGAUCCUGCACUUGAGUCACAACAACCUCAUGUAACACUACAGUCUUGGGAAAGAGAGGCUGGAAAGCUGCCUGGCAGAGAAGGAUCUGGAGGUUCUGGUCAACUGAACAUGAGCCAGCUGUGCCCAGGUAGCCAAGAAGGCCAAUGGCACCUGGCCUGUGUCAGCAAUGGUGUGGCCAGCAGGACCAGGACAGUGAUUGUCCCCCUGUACUCAGCACUGGUGAGGCCACACCCGGAAUCCUGUGUUCGUUUUGGUUCCCUCAGUGCAAGAAAGACAUUGAGGUGUGGGAGUGAGGCCAGAGAAGGGCAACAAGGCUGGUGAAGGGUCUGGAGCACAAGUCCGGUGAGGAAGAGCUGAGGGAGCUGGGAGUAUUUAGCCUGGAGAAAAGGAGGCUCAGGGGGCACAUUAUCACUCUCAACAACACACUGAAAGAAGGCUGCAGCCAGGUGGAAGUUGGUCCCAUCUCCCAAGUAACAAGCAACAGGACAAGAGAAAAUGGCCUAAAGUUGUUGGGAGGUUUAGACUGGAUAUUAGGUAAUAUUUCUUUCAUAGAAUGGGUGACCAGGCAUUGGAAGAGGAAGGAAGUAUCUUUUAAAUACUUCCAGGGAAGAAGCUGAGUCACUAUCCCUGGAAUUAUUUAAAAGACACGUAGAUGUGGCACAUAGGACACUUUUAGUUUAAUGCUGGACUUGAGAAUGUCAGGUUUGUGGUUGGACUUGAUGAUCUUAAGGGUCUUUCCCAACCUAACUGAUUUUAUAACUUUGAGAUGUUAGAUGAAAAUCACUGACCUUUUUUUUUUACAGAAAAAUCAUAAUAAAAGCAGAGUUUCAACCUC
Parus major (Great Tit) is the source of this 7024-nucleotide long non-coding RNA. RefSeq lists it as uncharacterized. The transcript has 2 exons. Lineage: Eukaryota; Metazoa; Chordata; Aves; Passeriformes; Paridae. The record is from RefSeq and is a predicted model, not a curated record.